GUCACAAUGUAUAAAAAGUUAACAGUUAUAGGUCAAAGUACGGCCUUCAACACGGAACUUCUAUUACUGUUUGUUAAAUUAAAUUUUUCAAAAAAUUGUGCAGAAUUUGCUUAACUUUUCAACUGAUUGCUCAUAGAGCAAAAAAAAUGCAUUAAAUACAGGUUUAUUUCCUCAAAACUGCGUGUUUUUGGCUCAUAAUUAUAACCAGC
This 209-nucleotide long non-coding RNA is filed under the name Mytilus galloprovincialis (Mediterranean mussel). The record is from RNAcentral. Lineage: Eukaryota; Metazoa; Mollusca; Bivalvia; Mytilida; Mytilidae.